CCACGCCGUAAACGAUGAGUGCUAAGUGUUAGGGGGUUUCCGCCCCUUAGUGCUGCAGCUAACGCAUUAAGCACUCCGCCUGGGGAGUACGGUCGCAAGACUGAAACUCAAAGGAAUUGACGGGGACCCGCACAAGCAGCGGAGCAUGUGGUUUAAUUCGAAGCAACGCGAAGAACCUUACCAGGACUUGACAUAUAUGAGAAAAGCUUAGAGAUAAGUAAUACUCUUCGGAGACUGAUAUACAGGUGGUGCAUGGUUGU
RNAcentral lists this ribosomal RNA (260 nucleotides) under uncultured bacterium. RNAcentral describes it as "partial 16S ribosomal RNA". It matches the Rfam family "Bacterial small subunit ribosomal RNA", at positions 795 to 1052 of the family's 1533-position model. The record is from RNAcentral.